RNA transcript from Vitis vinifera (wine grape), 5950 nucleotides. It is a transcript of the gene named putative disease resistance protein At3g14460, with no coding region annotated. The transcript has 4 exons. NCBI's taxonomy places the organism in Eukaryota, Viridiplantae, Streptophyta, Magnoliopsida, Vitales, Vitaceae. The record is from RefSeq and is a predicted model, not a curated record.
AUGGCCGACGCACUCCUAUCCGCUUCACUUCAAGUUCUAUUCGACAGGUUGACUUCUCCGGAGUUGAUGAACUUCAUCCGGGGACAGAAGCUUAGCCAUGAACUCCUCAACAAAUUGAAGAGGAAAUUGCUGGUUGUCCACAAAGCGCUCAAUGAUGCGGAGAUGAAGCAAUUUUCAGACCCACUAGUCAAAGACUGGCUGGUCCAGGUUAAGGAUGCUGUGUAUCAUGCGGAGGACCUGUUGGACGAGAUCGCUACCGAAGCCUUGCGGUGCGAGAUUGAAGCUGCUGACUCCCAACCUGGUGGAAUUUAUCAGGUGUGGAACAAGUUCUCUACCAGGGUUAAGGCUCCAUUUGCCAAUCAAAGCAUGGAGUCCAGGGUGAAGGAGAUGAUUGCUAAGCUUGAAGAUAUUGCUGAAGAAAAAGAGAAGCUUGGGCUGAAAGAAGGUGAGGGCGAUAAACUGUCACCAAGGCCACCAACCACUUCUUUGGUGGAUGAGUCCUCUGUGGUGGGCAGGGAUGGAAUCAAAGAGGAGAUGGUGAAGUGGUUGCUUUCUGAUAAGGAAAAUGCAACAGGCAACAACAUAGAUGUGAUGUCCAUAGUGGGCAUCGGCGGCAACGGCAAGACCACACUCGCUCAGCUUCUCUAUAACCAUGACACGGUCAAGCAACACUUCCACUUGAAAGCAUGGGUCUGUGUUUCCACUCAGAUUUUUCUCAUCGAGGAGGUGACAAAAUCAAUUCUCAAGGAAAUCGGUUCUGAAACUAAACCUGAUGACACCCUAAAUUUGCUUCAGCUUAAACUCAAAGAGAGAGUAGGUAACAAGAAAUUUCUUCUUGUUCUGGACGACGUCUGGGAUAUGAAGUCUGAUGAUUGGGUAGGCCUACGAAAUCCACUCCUCACUGCAGCAGAGGGAAGCAAGAUUGUUGUGACUAGUCGCAGUGAAACUGCUGCAAAAAUCAUGCGAGCAGUCCCUACUCAUCAUUUGGGGACAUUAAGCCCUGAAGAUAGUUGGUCCAUAUUUACAAAACUUGCAUUUCCAAAUGGAGACUCCAGCGCUUAUCCACAGCUUGAGCCCAUAGGAAGAAAGAUUGUGGACAAGUGCCAAGGAUUGCCUUUGGCUGUUAAAGCACUCGGGAGCCUCUUGUACUACAAGGCCGAAAAAGGAGAAUGGGAAGAUAUUUUGAAUAGCGAAACGUGGCAUUCCCAAACUGAUCAUGAAAUUCUUCCGUCUCUUAGAUUGAGUUAUCAGCAUCUCUCUCCUCCUGUGAAGCGUUGUUUUGCUUACUGUUCAAAUUUUCCCAAGGACUAUGAAUUCCACAAAGAGAAGCUGAUUCUAUUAUGGAUGGCAGAAGGGUUUUUACACUCAGGACAAAGUAACAGAAGAAUGGAAGAGGUAGGUGAUUCAUAUUUAAAUGAACUUUUAGCAAAGUCGUUUUUUCAAAAAUGUAUUAGAGGAGAAAAAUCAUGCUUUGUAAUGCAUGAUCUGAUACAUGACUUGGCUCAACAUAUCUCCCAAGAAUUUUGCAUUCGAUUGGAAGAUUGUAAGCUGCCAAAAAUAUCUGAUAAGGCUCGCCAUUUUUUCCACUUUGAAAGUGACGAUGACCGGGGAGCUGUGUUUGAAACUUUUGAGCCUGUUGGUGAAGCCAAACAUCUCAGAACAAUCUUAGAGGUGAAGACAUCAUGGCCUCCUUAUUUGUUGAGUACAAGAGUUUUACACAAUAUAUUACCAAAAUUUAAAUCUUUGCGGGUGUUGUCAUUGCGUGCAUACUGCAUAAGAGAUGUGCCUGAUUCAAUACACAAUUUAAAACAGUUGCGUUACUUGGAUCUCUCUACAACAUGGAUUAAAAGAUUACCUGAAUCAAUAUGUUGUUUGUGCAAUUUGCAAACGAUGAUGCUGAGUAAUUGUGAUUCUCUUCUUGAAUUGCCUUCAAAAAUGGGGAAGUUGAUUAAUUUGCGCUAUCUUGAUAUUAGUGGGUCUAAUUCAUUGGAAGAAAUGCCAAAUGAUAUAGGUCAAUUAAAAAGUUUGCAGAAAUUAUCUAAUUUUACUGUGGGCAAAGAAAGUGGAUUCAGAUUUGGAGAAUUGUGGAAGCUUUCAGAGAUUCGAGGAAGACUUGAAAUUUCAAAAAUGGAGAAUGUGGUGGGUGUUGAGGAUGCAUUGCAGGCGAAAAUGAAGGAUAAGAAAUACCUUGAUGAGUUAUCCUUGAAUUGGAGUCGGGGGAUUAGUCAUGAUGCUAUACAAGAUGAUAUUCUCAACAGGCUAACACCUCAUCCAAAUUUAAAAAAGUUGUCCAUUGGAGGGUAUCCUGGUCUAACAUUUCCAGAUUGGCUUGGAGACGGAUCAUUUUCAAAUCUCGUAUCCCUUCAGCUUUCGAAUUGUAGGAAUUGCUCAACAUUGCCGCCACUGGGGCAGCUACCUUGUCUUGAACAUAUAAAGAUCUUUGGAAUGAAUGGAGUAGUGAGGGUGGGUAGUGAGUUUUAUGGGAAUUCUUCUUCCUCGCUUCAUCCCUCCUUCCCAUCCCUGCAAACUCUAUCAUUUUCCUCUAUGUCCAAUUGGGAGAAAUGGUUAUGUUGUGGAGGCAAACAUGGAGAAUUCCCUCGUUUCCAGGAGCUUUCUAUAAGUAACUGUCCAAAACUCACUGGGGAAUUACCAAUGCACCUUCCUUUAUUGAAGGAACUUAACCUUCGAAAUUGCCCACAGCUGCUUGUGCCUACACUCAACGUUCUUGCUGCCCGUGAAUUGCAGUUGAAAAGGCAAACUUGUGGGUUCACAGCUAGUCAAACUUCAAAAAUUGAAAUUUCAGACGUCUCUCAGUUGAAGCAACUUCCACUGGUACCCCACUAUCUCUACAUUAGAAAAUGUGAUUAUGUGGAGUCUCUACUAGAGGAGGAAAUCCUGCAAACCAACAUGUACAGUUUGGAAAUUUGUGAUUGCUCUUUUUACAGAUCCCCAAACAAAGUUGGCUUACCCACUACAUUGAAAUCGUUAUCAAUCUCUGAUUGUACCAAAUUGGACCUUCUUCUACCUAAGUUGUUCAGAUGCCAUCACCCGGUUCUCGAAAAUCUAUCAAUCAAUGGCGGUACCUGUGAUUCUCUCUUGUUGUCCUUCUCAGUAUUGGACAUCUUCCCCAGGUUGACUGAUUUCGAAAUAAAUGGUCUUAAGGGGCUUGAGGAGCUCUGCAUCUCGAUUUCAGAGGGGGAUCCCACAUCUCUUCGUAAUUUGAAGAUCCAUCGGUGCCUUAAUCUUGUAUACAUCCAACUGCCUGCUCUUGACUCGAUGUACCAUGAUAUUUGGAAUUGCUCCAAUCUCAAAUUGCUGGCGCACACCCAUUCAUCUCUGCAGAAACUGUGUUUAGCGGAUUGUCCAGAAUUGUUGUUGCACAGGGAGGGUUUGCCUUCCAACCUACGGGAACUUGCAAUAUGGCGCUGCAACCAACUCACGUCACAGGUGGACUGGGAUUUGCAAAGACUGACCUCUCUUACUCAUUUCACAAUCGGAGGUGGAUGUGAAGGCGUGGAAUUAUUUCCCAAGGAGUGUCUGCUGCCCUCUUCUCUAACUCAUCUUUCAAUCUGGGGUCUUCCAAAUCUCAAGUCUCUUGACAACAAGGGGCUUCAACAACUCACCUCUCUUCGAGAAUUAUGGAUCGAGAACUGCCCUGAGCUCCAAUUCUCGACAGGAUCUGUUCUUCAACGCCUUAUCUCUCUCAAGAAAUUAGAAAUCUGGUCGUGCAGAAGGCUCCAAUCCUUGACAGAAGCGGGUCUUCACCACCUCACCACUCUUGAAACCUUAAGUAUCGUCCGUUGCCCUAAGCUCCAAUACUUGACAAAAGAGAGACUGCCAGACUCCCUCUGUUCUCUGGAUGUCGGAUCGUGUCCUUUGCUGGAACAACGGCUCCAAUUCGAGAAAGGGCAAGAAUGGCGUUAUAUAUCUCACAUUCCAAAAAUAGUGAUCGAUUGGGUGCUAUUUUAAUGGGAGUGGCAGUGCACCAACACAUGGGCAGGCAAUUUCUGAUGACAUUUGCAGCAUAGACACCAGUAGUCAUGGUAGUGGGAUUUGUGGAUUUAACAACCAUUGUAUUGCUUGAUGAAGAGGGGAGGUUGUCCAAAUUGUUGCCUAUAUGGGUAUUCUUUCUUGGAUAUAGAUUUUAAAGAUGAAAUUUUUUCAAUUGCCCGAUUGCCAAGCAGAUGAAAGGGGAGCAGAGAGGAAUGUGGUACACGGGCUAUUGACAAGCAAAAUUGAGUUCUAGAGGGAACAUAAUCCCAUGAUCUUGUAUAUAUGAAAUUGCCCUCUCUCAACUCCAAAAAUAGUGAUCAAUAUACCGUCAGGUAAUUUGUUUUAUGCUUAGACUUAUUUUCUUUAAAAAAGUUAUGUUCCAAUUCAUAAAGUAGCUGGCCAAGUACUCAUGUUUCAAAAUUUCUAACAAUCUCUAUAGUUGCAUGUCUCCAUAACUCAUUUUCUAGCCUUCUUAUUGGGAAUUUGGUUAUGCAGCAUGCUCUGCCCUAUCUUUUUUUUUAAAAAAAAAAGAAUUUUCUAAUGAAGUAAAGAAGAGUAAAGAAAGAUUGAUCCAUGGUAAUUCAUAUUUUAAAGAAGCCAGUUAUCAUAUUUUCAUGACACCAUCAAUUUACCUUUCGAAAUGGGCAGAGAUGACUCCUAGCUACUUGUGUGUUUAUCCCCUAUAAGAACACGUGGAUACAUUUUUAGGUAAUUCAUGGUUAUUGAAAUAUGUAUUGAAUCUUACCCACAUCAUAAUAUGUACUUAGUUGGCUACAUAUGUAAUAUACAUGUUAUGGCUUUGCUCCCUUUGAUAUCAAAAUAAAUUGAUCACUACUUUUUCUUUUCUGUGUCUCAUAUUAAGUAACAAGGAUCAGCAUAGAAGACUUACUAUGUGAACAAUGUUUGAUAUGACCAUGGAAAAAAAUAUGAGGUAAACAUCAAUAACUUUAUGCCAAUGUAUUUUUAAAUUUGGGAACAUUUGGAAAACUACAAUUCCAAAAGCAACAUUUUUAUGUGAGGUAUUUUAUGGUAUUGAAUUUAUAGAAUUUUUUAGUUAUCUGAACUCUCUUCUAGUUCAGCAGCCAACACUGAUUGAGGGCCCCUAUAAAGAAAAAGUUAGUCUAUUUUGCACUAACCCAGUGGACCACCUUUAAAAGGAAAGUUCGCUUUGAGAGCAUAUUUGACUAUUAGUCAAGCUGGACUAGCCUGGGACUCAAUUCCAUCAACCAGCGUCAAUAGUAUCAACUAUGGAUGGCCCUUGCUUGGUUGGGUCGAGUUACAAUCAGACUCAAGUACGUUCACAUGGGAAUUACUGACGACAGUUGCAGUGCAGCUGCAAGUGGCCGUGGCAGCGGGAUUUGCGGAUUCAACAGCUAUUGUAUUGUUUGAUGAGGAGAGGGGGCUGUUCAGAUGUGAGUGCCUGUGUAGGCAUUCUUUCUUGGCUCCAUAUUUUAAAGACUAAAUUUUCCAAUGCCCAGUUGCCAAGCAGAUGAAGGGGAAGCAGAGAAGAAUGCAGUAGAGUUCAUAGAAUUAAACAACACAGACUGGAAAUCUCUAAUUAUGAACUUUGGAUUGGACGGACUGUUGACAAGGAAAAAUUUUAAAGAGUCUUGUAAAGUGGAUUGGUUCUGUGCAGUAGCCAUUUAAACAGACAAUGUGUUGGCAGAAGAGAUUCCUUCUCUCCUAUGGAAGACAGAGCAAAAGGCUUGCAGACAGGCCCAGAUAAGUCUACCUUGAUUCUUGCUGGGUCACUACUCCUUGGCAGCUCAGUGUUCUUCAAUCUCUUUGUGUGGUUAGCUGUAGCUGGGCUGCUGUCUUCUGAUACUGUAAGAAACUGAUCAGUCUCCAGUUUGUUUCAAGCAUACUGGGGACCAAGGUGUAACAUCUGCAGGCACUUAUUCCCUAGGCAAUUGAUGCUACUUCUUCUCUGAAUAAAUUUCCAAUUUUUCUUUUUCAA